RNAcentral lists this ribosomal RNA (730 nucleotides) under Bacillus thuringiensis. RNAcentral describes it as "bacterial SSU rRNA". It matches the Rfam family "Bacterial small subunit ribosomal RNA", at positions 57 to 769 of the family's 1533-position model. Lineage: Bacteria; Bacillati; Bacillota; Bacilli; Caryophanales; Bacillaceae. The record is from RNAcentral.
GCAGUCGAGCGAUGGAUUGAGAGCUUGCUCUCAAGAAGUUAGCGGCGGACGGGUGAGUAACACGUGGGUAACCUGCCCAUAAGACUGGGAUAACUCCGGGAAACCGGGGCUAAUACCGGAUAACAUUUUGAACUGCAUGGUUCGAAAUUGAAAGGCGGCUUCGGCUGUCACUUAUGGAUGGACCCGCGUCGCAUUAGCUAGUUGGUGAGGUAACGGCUCACCAAGGCAACGAUGCGUAGCCGACCUGAGAGGGUGAUCGGCCACACUGGGACUGAGACACGGCCCAGACUCCUACGGGAGGCAGCAGUAGGGAAUCUUCCGCAAUGGACGAAAGUCUGACGGAGCAACGCCGCGUGAGUGAUGAAGGCUUUCGGGUCGUAAAACUCUGUUGUUAGGGAAGAACAAGUGCUAGUUGAAUAAGCUGGCACCUUGACGGUACCUAACCAGAAAGCCACGGCUAACUACGUGCCAGCAGCCGCGGUAAUACGUAGGUGGCAAGCGUUAUCCGGAAUUAUUGGGCGUAAAGCGCGCGCAGGUGGUUUCUUAAGUCUGAUGUGAAAGCCCACGGCUCAACCGUGGAGGGUCAUUGGAAACUGGGAGACUUGAGUGCAGAAGAGGAAAGUGGAAUUCCAUGUGUAGCGGUGAAAUGCGUAGAGAUAUGGAGGAACACCAGUGGCGAAGGCGACUUUCUGGUCUGUAACUGACACUGAGGCGCGAAAGCGUGGGGAGC